AUUGAACGCUGGCGGCAUGCCUUACACAUGCAAGUCGAACGGUAACAGGUUAAGCUGCCGAGUGGCGAACGGGUGAGUAAUAUAUCGGAACGUGCCCAGUCGUGGGGGAUAACGUGGCGAAAGCUACGCUAAUACCGCAUACGAUCUACGGAUGAAAGCGGGGGAUCGCAAGACCUCGCGCGAUUGGAGCGGCCGAUAUCAGAUUAGGUUGUUGGUGAGGUAAAAGCUCACCAAGCCUGCGAUCUGUAGCUGGUCUGAGAGGACGACCAGCCACACUGGAACUUAGACACGGUCCAGACUCCUACGGGAGGCAGCAGUGGGGAAUUUUGGACAACGGACGCAAGUAUGAUCCAGCAAUGCCGCUUGCAGGACGAAGGCCUUCGGGUUGUAAGCUGCUUUUGUACGGAACGAAACGGUGAGCUCUAAUACAGUUUGCUAAUGACGGUACCGUAAGAAUAAGCGCCGGCUAACUACGUGCCAGCAGCCGCGGUAA
RNAcentral lists this ribosomal RNA (493 nucleotides) under uncultured bacterium. RNAcentral's name for it is "partial 16S ribosomal RNA". It matches the Rfam family "Bacterial small subunit ribosomal RNA", at positions 30 to 523 of the family's 1533-position model. The record is from RNAcentral.